GACGGAGGGUGCUAGCGUUGUUCGGAAUCACUGGGCGUAAAGGGCGCGUAGGCGGCUCGUUAAGUCGGUGGUGAAAUCCCGGGGCUCAACCCCGUGGACUGCCUCCGAUACUGGCGGGCUUGAGGAAGGUAGGGGAGAGUGGAAUUCCUGGUGUAGCGGUGAAAUGCGCAGAAUAUCAGGAGGAACACCGAUGGCGAAGGCAGGUCUCUGGGCAUUAACUGACGCUGAGGAGCGAAAGCAUGGGGAGCGAACAGG
This 255-nucleotide ribosomal RNA is filed under the name uncultured bacterium. RNAcentral's name for it is "partial 16S ribosomal RNA". It matches the Rfam family "Bacterial small subunit ribosomal RNA", at positions 524 to 776 of the family's 1533-position model. The record is from RNAcentral.